GCGGCGUGCCUAAUACAUGCAAGUCGAGCGGACAGAUGGGAGCUUGCUCCCUGAUGUUAGCGGCGGACGGGUGAGUAACACGUGGGUAACCUGCCUGUAAGACUGGGAUAACUCCGGGAAACCGGGGCUAAUACCGGAUGGUUGUUUGAACCGCAUGGUUCAGACAUAAAAGGUGGCUUCGGCUACCACUUACAGAUGGACCCGCGGCGCAUUAGCUAGUUGGUGAGGUAACGGCUCACCAAGGCGACGAUGCGUAGCCGACCUGAGAGGGUGAUCGGCCACACUGGGACUGAGACACGGCCCAGACUCCUACGGGAGGCAGCAGUAGGGAAUCUUCCGCAAUGGACGAAAGUCUGACGGAGCAACGCCGCGUGAGUGAUGAAGGUUUUCGGAUCGUAAAGCUCUGUUGUUAGGGAAGAACAAGUGCCGUUCAAAUAGGGCGGCACCUUGACGGUACCUAACCAGAAAGCCACGGCUAACUACGUGCCAGCAGCCGCGGUAAUACGUAGGUGGCAAGCGUUGUCCGGAAUUAUUGGGCGUAAAGGGCUCGCAGGCGGUUUCUUAAGUCUGAUGUGAAAGCCCCCGGCUCAACCGGGGA
This 598-nucleotide ribosomal RNA is filed under the name Bacillus subtilis. RNAcentral's name for it is "bacterial SSU rRNA". It matches the Rfam family "Bacterial small subunit ribosomal RNA", at positions 39 to 619 of the family's 1533-position model. The record is from RNAcentral. Lineage: Bacteria; Bacillati; Bacillota; Bacilli; Caryophanales; Bacillaceae.